GCGAAAACUUUACAAUGCCGGCAACGGCGAUAAGGGGACCUCGAGUGCCAGGUUACAAAUCUGGCUGUCGUGAUGCCUAAAAAGCAUUGCAUAGCAAGGGCCGGGCAAGACCGGUGCCAGCCGCCGCGGUAACACCGGCGGCUCGAGUGGUAACCGUUAUUAUUGGGUCUAAAGGGUCUGUAGCCGGCCGGAUAAGUCUCUUGGGAAAUCCAGCAGCUUAACUGUUAGGCUUUCAGGAGAUACUGUCUGGCUCGAGGCCGGGAGAGGUGAGAGGUACUUCAGGGGUAGGGGUGAAAUCUUGUAAUCCUUGAAGGACCACCAGUGGCGAAGGCGUCUCACCAGAACGGACCUGACGGCAAGGGACGAAAGCUAGGGGAGCAAACG
This 384-nucleotide ribosomal RNA is filed under the name uncultured prokaryote. RNAcentral's name for it is "bacterial SSU rRNA". It matches the Rfam family "Archaeal small subunit ribosomal RNA", at positions 341 to 725 of the family's 1478-position model. The record is from RNAcentral.